Molecule: ribosomal RNA, 429 nt
Filed under: Verrucomicrobiota bacterium
Lineage: Bacteria; Pseudomonadati; Verrucomicrobiota
Description: Verrucomicrobia bacterium partial 16S ribosomal RNA
Rfam family: Bacterial small subunit ribosomal RNA
Source: RNAcentral
UAGGGAAUCUUCGGCAAUGGGGGGAACCCUGACCGAGCAACGCCGCGUGAGUGAAGAAGGUUUUCAGAUCGUAAAGCUCUGUUGUUAAGGAAGAACGAGUGUGAGAAUGGAAAGUUCAUGCUGUGACGGUACUUAACCAGAAAGGGACGGCUAACUACGUGCCAGCAGCCGCGGUAAUACGUAGGUCCCGAGCGUUGUCCGGAUUUAUUGGGCGUAAAGCGAGCGCAGGCGGUUAGAAAAGUCUGAAGUGAAAGGCAGUGGCUCAACCAUUGUAGGCUUUGGAAACUGUUUAACUUGAGUGCAGAAGGGGAGAGUGGAAUUCCAUGUGUAGCGGUGAAAUGCGUAGAUAUAUGGAGGAACACCGGUGGCGAAAGCGGCUCUCUGGGCUGUAACUGACGCUGAGGCUCGAAAGCGUGGGGAGCGAACAGG